Molecule: non-coding RNA, 168 nt
Organism: Roseburia intestinalis L1-82
Lineage: Bacteria; Bacillati; Bacillota; Clostridia; Lachnospirales; Lachnospiraceae
Source: Rfam
UUUGGGAGAAAAUUAGAAAAUCUUAGUAUGCCUGUUAAUGCAUAGUGUUUUGCUGCCAUGGAUGGCAGCAAAAGUCUUAACGUCCCAUGGACGGGACGUUUAAGACGUACACGUCACUCCUGGAAAAUCUAAAUCAGGCAUACUUAGUUUUUCUUAUUUUCGGACAGC